ACGCUCGACACCUACGGGAGCAGCAGUGGGGAAUAUUGCACAAUGGGGGAAACCCUGAUGCAGCGACGCCGCGUGAGCGAAGAAGUAUCUCGGUAUGUAAAGCUCUAUCAGCAGGGAAGAAGAUGACGGUACCUGACUAAGAAGCACCGGCUAAAUACGUGCCAGUAGCCGCGGUAAUCUGAGCGGGCUGGCAAGGC
RNAcentral lists this ribosomal RNA (197 nucleotides) under uncultured bacterium. RNAcentral describes it as "partial 16S ribosomal RNA". It matches the Rfam family "Bacterial small subunit ribosomal RNA", at positions 328 to 539 of the family's 1533-position model. The record is from RNAcentral.